GAGUUUGAUCAUGGCUCAGAACGAACGCUGGCGGCGUGCCUAACACAUGCAAGUCGAACGAGAAAGGGGCUUCGGCCCUGAGUAAAGUGGCGCACGGGUGAGUAACACGUGGGUAACCUGCCUCUAAGACCGGGAUAACCUGUCGAAAGAUGGGCUAAUACCAGAUAAGACCACGGUCCCUUCGGGGACAGGGGUCAAAGGUGGCCUCUGCAUGCAAGCCAUCACUUAGAGAUGGGCCCGCGUACCAUUAGCUAGUUGGUAGGGUAACGGCCUACCAAGGCAAAGACGGUUAGCUGGUCUGAGAGGAUGAUCAGCCACACUGGAACUGAGACACGGUCCAGACUCCUACGGGAGGCAGCAGUGGGGAAUAUUGCGCAAUGGGCGAAAGCCUGACGCAGCAACGCCGCGUGAGUGAUGAAGGCCUUCGGGUCGUAAAGCUCUGUCGGAGGGAACGAAAGCUCUUGAGGUUACAGCCCCAGGAAGUGACGGUACCCUCAAAGGAACACCGGCUAAUCUGUGCCAGCAGCCG
This 529-nucleotide ribosomal RNA is filed under the name uncultured bacterium. RNAcentral describes it as "bacterial SSU rRNA". It matches the Rfam family "Bacterial small subunit ribosomal RNA", at positions 9 to 517 of the family's 1533-position model. The record is from RNAcentral.